UGCCGCGUAGCUCAGUUGGUAGAGCAUUGGGGCUAGCAUUCCAAAGGUCGUAGGUUCGAUUCCCACCGUGGCCA
This is a non-coding RNA of Paramuricea clavata, 74 nucleotides long. The record is from the annotation of a GenBank genome assembly. NCBI's taxonomy places the organism in Eukaryota, Metazoa, Cnidaria, Anthozoa, Malacalcyonacea, Plexauridae.